GUGCACACUUGGCUGUGAAUUAAAAAAGCAAGGAAAGGGCUUAAAGUCAAAAACAUACAGGAUAGUUUCAUUUGAAAGUCUCACUCUCUCUUCAUUCUCCUGCACCCUCUACCUAUAACCAAAAAGAAUUUAGGCCACCUCCCUCAUCGGAGAAGAAGGUGGUAGGCGGGCGGCCACGACGACACCGCCCUCUUCUCCAGUCAACCACCACAAUAAACACCAUUCCCUACAUAAUAAAACCUCCCGAGUUCAAAUCUGAACUCAUAUUUUCCAACAAAAAUCCAAUCGGCUGGAUCAAAACCCCCUAGCCAAAACCCUGGAUCGACCAGAACAAGGCCAAAACGAAAUCCACCUCCCUCACUCUCAGCUCAAAAACCAUAAUGAAUCCUCUUAUGAGCACAAACCCCAAGCUAAAACCCUCUCGGACCUAAUACACAAGCCAAAUCAGACACGAGCUCACAUUGAACCCUAGCCCUAAAAAAAUGAAACUAAAACAAAGCACAAAUCAAAACAGCAAACAAAACACCAAUGAUAUGAGUGAGCACAAACUCAAGUCAACAGGAGAAUUGCAACAAACUUUUUAAUCUGGUUCAACAGCAUAAGGAAGCAUUAUUCAAAAUUUAUAGCAAAAUCAAUUUUAGAGAAAAGAAAAAAGAUAAGGAGUCUACCUAUUGGAGUCCUUCCGAUGAGGCUUCAAAAGAGGUGAGAAAUUGGAAAAACAAAGAAUUGCACCAAGUACACAAUGGAUGAAAAACAAGGUCCAAGGCUGCCUAAGUUAGUGUAUCAGAGGUCUCUUAUCAAAGUGGACAACCAAGUUUAGGUAUUUCCUUGCAAUGUUAGGAUCAUGACUUGUAAAUGAUACCAUGUUAGGAUUUUGGGUUGUGAAUGAUUCCAUCCUAACCCCUUAGUAACUUUUGUAAUUUUUGUAAGACCCAUCAUUGGCUUUAUGUAGCUUUUGGCAUGUAAAAGAAGGUCCUUGUAUAUCUUUUUGAAAGCAAAUAUAACUUGUUUUAAAAGUAAUAACAAUAAAGCUUUUGAUGCA
Molecule: long non-coding RNA, 1042 nt
Organism: Lathyrus oleraceus (garden pea)
Lineage: Eukaryota; Viridiplantae; Streptophyta; Magnoliopsida; Fabales; Fabaceae
Exons: 2
Source: RefSeq, a predicted model, not a curated record